Anastrepha ludens (Mexican fruit fly) is the source of this 536-nucleotide long non-coding RNA. RefSeq lists it as uncharacterized. NCBI's taxonomy places the organism in Eukaryota, Metazoa, Arthropoda, Insecta, Diptera, Tephritidae. The transcript is spliced from 3 exons. The record is from RefSeq and is a predicted model, not a curated record.
UAAUGACUAUCUUCUUUAACAGGAAAAGUACCGUUAUGUUUGCUUUUUUUUUGUUAAUUGCGUCCCGCUUCGCCUGCGCAAGAUCAAUUAAAUCGUACUAUUUUUUAGUAGUGUCAAUGUGCUUAGGAAUAACUGAUUAGUUUCGUUGCGCAUGAAGGGUAUUUCUGUGUUGCUAUUUUGGCAAUAAAAAUAAUAUGUGGUGUAUUAAAUGAAGUUAUGCCUCUUUAUCUAAAAAAAGUGAAUACAAUCGUCUGUAUUACUUAUGUAUAUAUGUAAUAUGCCAAUACGUCAAUAUGCCUUGGACGUCGUUUCCAGGAAUUUCGGUUUUCCCGUUUAUUAUAGAAUAUAAAGUCGCUGUGUGAGAUAUAGUAGUUUGUCGCUUUUGUCCACUUAUCUUCAAGAAGCGAACGGUGAAGUUUCGCGAACCGACUGGCAACAAUAGCGACCGAGAUGUCAAAACAAAAACAUGAAUUAGCCUUGAUGUCGACAGCAGAUAUCGAGAAAGAGCACACUUUCUGGGUCUACCGUUAGAUGAG